RNAcentral lists this small nuclear RNA (340 nucleotides) under Erinaceus europaeus (western European hedgehog). RNAcentral's name for it is "7SK RNA". It matches the Rfam family "7SK RNA". From Rfam's summary of the family: 7SK was discovered as an abundant small nuclear RNA in the mid-70s but a possible function has only recently been suggested. Two independent studies have found that 7SK RNA binds the CDK9/cyclin T complex (known as elongation factor P-TEFb). P-TEFb activates transcription by phosphorylating the C-terminal domain of RNA polymerase II. The record is from Rfam by way of RNAcentral. Lineage: Eukaryota; Metazoa; Chordata; Mammalia; Eulipotyphla; Erinaceidae.
GCAUGUGAGGACCAUCUCGCUGGACAUCUGUCACCCCAUUGAUCGCCAGGGUUGAUUCCGCUGAAAUGGCUGUCUAGGCCGGUGUCCCCUUCCUCCCUCACUGCUCCAUGUACAUCCCUCCCGAAGCUGCAUACUAGGCAGAAAAGGAUGGUGUUCCCAGAAUAGAGAUGGACCGGUCUUUGGUCGAGGGUGUACAAGUAGCUGUGAGGGUAUACGAGUAUGCACUCCCCUGCUAGAAUCUCCAAACAAGCUCCCAAGAAAAAGAAAGACUGUCUAGAUUACUUAGACAGGCAUAACAUUUAGUAAGGUUUACAUGUUACAGUUCAAGCUGACAUAUACU